Molecule: long non-coding RNA, 2872 nt
Organism: Drosophila ananassae
Lineage: Eukaryota; Metazoa; Arthropoda; Insecta; Diptera; Drosophilidae
Exons: 2
Source: RefSeq, a predicted model, not a curated record
UGUACACAUAUCGACAAAUCGGUAUUUGUGAAAAUAAAUCAAGAAAUGCAACUUCAGACAACGGAAUCCGAAGAAUUGGUAUUGCUCAUUACAAAAACGAUAACGUGGCUCCGUCGUUUGGGCUCUGCCGCACAGACUUGGGAUGUGUCUUAGGACGAAGGACCGCACGAAACCUUAUUCCUGAACGGAUAUUUUUGAAGCGGCGAUAGGUACAUAGAUGGCCCCGGUGUUGCUUCAGAAGCUCGGAACACGACUAAUGGAAUGGGUUGCGCUCAGGUAGGUACAUGGUUAGGAAAAUGAAUUAAUUGACUGGCGGAGUGACAGCACGCCAUGUAUCUACAUACAUAUGUGAGCGAGGCUGUGAGUGGAGCGAUAAAAAACUAAUGAGAUGUGGACAGACAAAACAUCAGCGGCAGAAGCACUGCAAUGAACGAAAGGUGACAAUCACAGUUCAGUAAAACAAAACAAUAACGAAGCUGAGAGGAAACAAUGAAGCACAAACACGUCGCGAAAGAGCGGCAAAAAGACCAGCAUUUUUGUGGAACUCACGCGACAAUCGGCAGCGUCGGGAGAAACUUCACUCUGUCACAUGGAGCCGGGAUUUCCUGGCUUGAUUCUCUAGAACGCGUUUGGUUGGACUUUUUUUCUACUAUUUCUCCCAAUUCUUUUAAGCAUGACGAAAGGGGAUCAUGAACAAAAUAUGCCAACUUAGCUAAUUUCCCGCUAAAAUUUAGCCAUUUUAAGUGUUCACUUAAAGAUUUGUUACAAGGUCAUUUGACCAAAAUAAUUGUGAUUACUUUAGAAAAAAUAUUGACAAUUUUUCCAAUUUUUUUUUUUUUAAUGUCCAAUUACAGUUUUACAUAACUUUACGAAACAAAAGUAAAAUAAAGUUCUUUUUAUCGUUGUCAUCAUUGAUUUAAGAAUUACCUAAGAAAUUACAAGACCAGUUUAAGCAAAAUGCAUUAGGCUGACUUUGAUGCCCGAAAUCCGCAACCAUAAAAAUGUAUGUUUUAAGAGCAUCCAUCUAACAAGACAUCUAACAAAAAUCCUUAAUUUUAACAUAGUUAUUCGAUUGGUUUAUAUAGUAUUGUAUGUCACCUUUGAUAUAACACUAUCUACUUGGAUAAGAUUUAAUUAAAAAAUAUCAACAGUAUUUUCAUUUAUGAAUUAAGAAAUCUAGCUGUUUUUUUGCUAGUUUAGUUAGUCUAUUCAGCUAUAAUUGACGAUCAAUAGUUGGCAACACUGACAGCGACGAAACACGAUCAUGAAUGUUUACAGACAUCGAGUAAACUUUUUACGUCGAGGGAAGCGCUAACAGCCCUGAAGGUGCUGUUGACGCGAAUCUCUCGUAAUUCAAAAGAGUAAUGGGGAGAUGUUGGGAAAACUACAUUGAUUGCAGUAAUUCCAUUUGGAAGUGGGUGGGACGUCAAGAUCAAUGCGGAUACUAUCGCCACUAAGUAUCGUAUCGCUUGCAGUUGUUUUAAACAGCUAAUUACUUUAUUUAAAGGCAUCUCCUAUCUCACUUAAUCGAUGUGGUGAGCCUUAAUUAUGGCUUCGAAAAUUUUUUAACAUUCAAUUCAUUGUUUGCCAUUACCUUUUAAUUAGUAUAUGCAAAUCUCUCGAAUUACACCUGACGCGUGAGAGAUUUUCUAAUAGUUUGGCUAUUGCUCGAUUAGUAUGUAUCAGAAAUUGCAGUAAACAAUCACUACAAAUUUGUAUAUCUACCUGGUACAGACCAAACCGCAUAAAGGGGUUACAUGCGGUUCCAAAAACUAUAAUUUUUUUUGAAUUUAAACUUUUCCUUCUGACUAAAAACUUUAAACGCUUUAAAAUUAAAAAUAAAACUCAAAUAUUUUAAACAGUCCUUCAUAAUACAUCAAACAGGUAAAUGAACAUAAGAUUGUUUCAAUAUUUUAAAUAUUCCUAUUUUAAAUAUAAAAAUGCGCCAACAUUUUCGUCAAUUAUUUUUUUAAUACCCUUUGCAAAAAAUCCAAUUUUCAUUAUUUUGGCUUUUCCUUUGAUCAUUCGCGGGUUUAAUUUCGCCGAAAAUGACAAUGGCUGAGCUUUCCAACUUUUUAGUUAAAAGUAUCACAAUAAAAAAAUUAUUGAAAAUAGGCUGUUUUUUGGCUCGUAAAACCCAUGUAACCCCUUAAGCUCCUAUUACACAAUCUACAUAUGUAUACUUAUGCCUACAUAUACUAUAGAGUUAAAGGCUGUGUUAUUUACCCACAGGUAAAAUAAUGGAUGAGAUUUUGUUUUUCAAUAGUACCUAAAUUUUUGUGUUUUGCAUAACUUUAGCCUUAUUACGUGAACCGGAUUGAAUCACGCGGAUAUGACUGACGUUGAAAUAAUUGAAAGAGGAUUGUUAUAGUAGUUUUUGUAGAAUUGUCGCAAAAUCGAUUUUAAUGAAUCCGAUUGGUAACAAAGCAGUCAUUGCGAAUAUAAUCACGCUUAUUCACCAUUUGUCAAUCAAGAUGGCUUUUCAUAGCCCCUCACCUGGUGAAGAAACUCCUGGUCCUUCUUCGCCUUGUCGUAAUUGUUAACGGUAACAUUUGACGCGACAUUUGUCAUUGAAUCAUUAUUAAUCUCAUUGUUUCUUUCUUUUCUCCGAGUUUCCACUGUACUACUGCAUAGCCCGUUAGAUGUCGUCGCAUUCCCUUCCUGGGUUCCUUGAGGCUGCGGAAAUAUGGAAUCAAUGCCCAAGGGUGGAACAUUUGACGGUGGGUGCCGCUUCCUUAAAAAACGCGUUUGUGACAUUUGAGCAAAUUUUGACUGAAGCUAAACUCAACGAAAAGGUGGAAAAAAUUUAAAAUCCCAAAACUCCCCCCUCUUACUUUUUAAAAAUACGGUUGCGAAACCUAAAAACCUCGUA